Molecule: long non-coding RNA, 3497 nt
Organism: Chiroxiphia lanceolata (lance-tailed manakin)
Lineage: Eukaryota; Metazoa; Chordata; Aves; Passeriformes; Pipridae
Exons: 9
Source: RefSeq, a predicted model, not a curated record
AUAAAGGAACUGAUUAUACGUAUAGCUCUUUUUCUCUGUUUAAUGCUUAAAUAUGUUAGUGAUGUUCUGUUGUCAGAUAUGGACUACAAGAAAGCUUAGUCACCAUCAUCUCACUUUGAUGUGUAUAUAAAGUCAAGGUGACUGUGAUUGUAAACUUUCUUGCAUUUCCUAACUAUUUUUAAGCCAACAACCUACUGACGUUAUUGAUUUUAAUGUGUACAUGUAGUAUCCUUUGGCUAUUGCAUCGCAGUAUUUUAAUCAAAGGGAGGGACAUCUUUUUUGAGACAGAGGUUAUAAAAUCAGUAGCUAAAAUAAGAGGCCGGGUUCUUUUUUGUCAACUGCUUUCUGUUUAAACCCUUCUCUUUUUUCUGAAUUAAAAACCUCUUAUAUUUUUACACCUUUUUUCCCUUGUACUUUUGAAAAGAAGUGCUACAUUUUUUCCUUACUAUGGUAUCUGUAGCCUUGCCAGAGGAUAAGAAAUCUAUAUAUUGCUCUGAGUUGAAGGUAGACUUCUUUUUUUCUUCUUGGAUCUCAUAACAGUGCCUUUUAUUUUGUCAUCCUUAAUAGGAGCAUAUUCUUUGCCCUGUAGCAAAGAGAGAAACUGAACACUUUAGACCUGAUGUAGUGUUCUCAGAAAUCACUGUAAAGAUUUCCAUUUGGGAGUUUCAGCUGGCCUUCAAAAUACUUUUUCUUAAUUUUGAUUCUAUUAUUUCAAUUAUUUUACCUCCCUUUCCUACAGCCUGUAGGCUUCUGACCCUAUUCCAGUAGGGAACAAUAGCCAAGACUUAACUUAGUAGCUCUUGUGUUUUCAGAAAUUAAUUAUUUUCAGGAAUAUUUCUAGUGGGAAAAUACCAGUGAUGAAAUGUUGAUGGAAGAAAUUGAAUGGGACUCAGCAUGAGGUAAUAUAACAACAGUCAAACAAAAUUCAUGUCUCUGUAAUGGCAACGAUAUUGGCUAGCUUGAUGUUAAGGACUUGAAAAGCUGAAGUGGAAAUUUGGAGUUGCAUUGGUUAAAAGACGUACAAAGUAAAAAGGAUUAGAGCAAGACAAGUGUUUUGAAAUUAAGUGAACAAAUAGAUAGGAUUUGCCCAGAUAUGAUAUGUUGGUUUCUGGUUUCAUAUGUUAAUUGGUGUUGCUCUUUUAAGGGGGGUUGUAUUUCACUCUCCUUUUGUUUGGCCUUUACACUGGUUUUCCCCUUCCCUGCAUGAAAGUCUGAGAUUUCUAAGGUGGUUUUUAGUUUUAACUGGCUUACAUCAGAAUUCAAAGGCAUUUUAUCAGUAAGGUGAUUUAUUUGUUUUGAGAAUCUUGGUUUUCAGCAAUAGCAGCUGAAGGCAGUGUUUUACUGGAGUUAGCACAUUUUACACCAUUCCAAUUUUCCUAUCUCUAUUUUGUAUGUAUUUAUAAAAGGGAAAUUAGUGCCAAAUUAUAGCUAUGCAAAUAAACAAUAUUUGGUAUAACACAUGACACUUAAAAAAAGAAUUUUAAUAGUUUCAUUCUGUUUUCAAAAUAACUUUGAAGGCUGUUUUGUUUUCUUGAAAAUAAGUGGUAAUCAAACAUAGUAAUUAGAGUUGAACCCUUGUGACUCUUGGGGAAAAAAACUUCUAAAUAUCUUGCCUGCAGAACCUGAUUCCUCUGUUUGCAGAACAAAGAAUAUUAAGUAACACACUCGCUGUCCAAGAAAUUAGACAAUUCUUGUUACACUCCAUAACGUGCUUCAAGACAUUUUUCAUCUAGUACAGUACAAAAGGAAGGGGUCUCUUCAAGAAAACUGAUUCUAAGUUGGCAAGAUGUUGAUCCAUACUGAUCCCAUUUGGGGAAACGUCUGUCCUGUGUGAGGAUGCCAGUACAGUUGUAGCCACUGACACUAUACAUGACCAGAGGCUCCAGUUUCUGGCAUCUCUUUCUAUUGUCAGGAAAGUAGUUUCACACCUCGGCCAAAACUCAAAACCAAUCAUCUGCUUUUUAUACGGCAACAGCGCCUAGCAAGGUGUGGACACAUCUGUCUUGAUAGGAUGUCAUGAGAGCAUCUCCUUGCAAUUUGUUUCUCUUCCCUCAGACAAGGUGCCAGUGCAGUGACUUGUUCCUUGGUAGUCAGUUCAAUUUCUUCAGAUUAUCUGUAAAUUUUCAAUAAUGGCAAUACAUUCAUUCUGCCAUUUGGAGGAGCCUGUGCCACAGAGUAAUGAUCUGAAGAAAGCUCACUUAUUUGCAAGGAAGAGUCUUCAUUUGGGAAUUAGCACCGAUGCAGCUAAGAGGUGCUUCCUCAAGUUCAGCAGAACUGUUAUUGUUUCACUUCUGGUGCAUGGACAAAACUGGAUUUUCUUCAUAGAUCAGGAUUCCUGUACCUGAAGAGUAAGAAGAAACCAUUUUGGUAGGUGUGGGUUGCUUGUCAGAAAUCCGUUCCAAAGCUAGAGUGCGAAGCAAGAAGGGUGCUGAUGAUGAAUAUGAAUGGAUAUCUUAAGGAUAACAAUGGUCACAGCAUCUUCAAAAGCAGUGGCAUUCUGGAAUUUUCCAUGUUUAUUAUUGUCCACAUUUGAACCCUAUCCAGUUUUUUUAGUACCCUUUUGGAGAAGGGGUGACCUGUACCUCAUAUGGGAUUUUCUUUUUCUGCAAUAAGCAUGUUUUUGGAGACCCUGAGAAUUUCUUAGCAUCUAAGAUAUUUAGACCCUAAUCCUGCCACUGGAUUUGUUCAAAUGGACCAUGAUGGCUGUGGGGCCUGACUGAGUUGAUGGGACUCCUGGAUGACUGCAAGUUCCUACUCUGAAGAUCUGAUUGUAGGCCUGAACCUAAAUUUCUAUCUCCUUCCCCUGUCUACCUGCUUCUGAUUGAUGAAAAUUAUCCAAAAAACUGUAUUUUCUUUGAGUCUUAUGCACAUCACUUUAGUAGCAUUCAGAAGCUGUGUGCUUGGGAUUUUGUCAGACAUUGUUAAAAUAUUUGUGUUCUGUCAUGUGCCAAUGUCUCAUGAUUGCUCUGAUUAUUGUGUUAUAUUUUUACAUUUACUAUCUUCCUAUCUAAAAUGGAGAUCAUCACCUGUGUUUUCGGUCAUUGUGGUAUUUCUCUUAACUCAGAUUUUUAAGUCAGAGUAACUGUUGAAACUAUUCAGAACUUUUUUCAAGAUGUGGGUAGAUUUGUUUUUUCCUCGGCGGACACGGAGUAUAUCUAUUUUAUUUUGCAAACUUAGUAGCCUACUAGUACUGAAAGCUUUCAAUAUGAUGAUACUCUAAUGCAGAUCAAUAAAAUAAGUAGGAAAAGGCAUUAACUUUUACUAGAUCUCCUGUUGCUUUUCUAUUUCUGUGGCUGUGAUUACAUGACAUACAGCUGAGAGUGAGGAUAUUUUUAUUUUUUUUGUGAGCCGGUGAAUAUCUUUUGAUUACACUGACUGCUGUUCCCUAUGUAUUCCGUAUGACCAUGUUGCAGUUUCACCAAGUACUAAAGUUAUAGCCCUGAUAGAAGCUGGAAAGGACUUUGCAAAAUCACAUUAAAAGAGUUCAAGAGGGAAAA